Molecule: RNase P RNA, 365 nt
Filed under: Gammaproteobacteria bacterium
Lineage: Bacteria; Pseudomonadati; Pseudomonadota; Gammaproteobacteria
Description: partial RNase P RNA component class A
Rfam family: Bacterial RNase P class A
About the family: Ribonuclease P (RNase P) is a ubiquitous endoribonuclease, found in archaea, bacteria and eukarya as well as chloroplasts and mitochondria.
Source: RNAcentral
UGAGUUGGCUGGGCAGUCGCCGGUAGCUUUUAGCAUCGGAGGAAAGUCCGGGCUCCGCAGGACAAAGUGCCAGAUAACAUCUGGGGGAUGCGAGUUCACGGAAAGUGCAACAGAAAAUACACCGCCGAUGGCCGAGGUUUCCUCGGAACAGGUAAGGGUGAAAUGGUGCGGUAAGAGCGCACCGCAUGUCCGGUAACGGGCAUGGCAGGGUAAACCCCAUCGGGAGCAAAACCAAAUAGAAGCGGCGCAUAACCAGUUCCUAGGUUGUCGCUUGGGUAGGUUGCAAGAGGUGUCCGGUAACGGUCAUCCUAGAUGAAUGACUGCACAUUAUGUGUUUUCACAUAAGGACAGAACCCGGCUUAUAG